CAACAACAACCACAACCACAACCUCAUAACCAAAAACAACCACCAAUGUACAGUACGUAACACUAACACACUACCAAAACCUGCCCAUCCACACGCUACCCCUCCCUCCCCCCCUCACGUGCUAGACUAUAUAAGACCAGCCACUCCCAGAACCUCGCCAGAAACAUCUUGGAUUCCUACAGAUACACAACAAUGCGUAAUCUCGUCAUUCUCAUGUUGCUGGUGGUGGUGAUGGUUGGGGUAGCUUGGGCCUACCCAUCUAACCUACCCGCCAGUGUGACGGCCGUGGACUGCCCUACCUAUCCCUUCUACCCCUGCCGAGUGCCUGCACAUCCUCCUCAGCCCGCCAACCCUGCUGGCGUCAAGUGCUACAACUACCCCUACUACGCCUGCUAGCUUCCUCCAGCCUCCUACCAUCAAUAUUUACGUCAGCCUCUUCUCAUCCUGCUAUUCUUUCCUGCCUGUAAUGAGCUAUGUGGGUUCUUGUGUUUCUAGCUCCUAUUUGGGUGGUCCUUCACUCUCUUAAGCCACGUAUGGGUGGCGCCGCAUACCUUGAGCCAUUUUUAAGGUGGUGUAUCUAUCGUCCUUAUAGUUGGUGAAUGUUGUGUUUUACGCAUCCGUCUCCAUAGUGAUCUUGUUUACCUUAAGUCGCAUAAAACUUUGCGAUCCAAUCCCCCAUCUUCUAGUCUCAGCUGUACGUCCGUUUACUCCACUAGUAAUAUCUCUUUGUCAACCCCUGCCACGAUUACUAGAAUCAGCCGACCUCUUCUUCGUCACGUCAGCAGCUGUGAGGCCUUCAGAUCAUCUUCAUCUCUGAACAAUGGCCUCCUCGACAGUUCGUGCACAGCUCCAAGGUCCAGGAAUAUCGACCCCUGAACUAGUGUCCCCCAGCAAGAAGUAAACAAAGUGACGACGUCCUCUUCCUCAGCGUUCUUCACCACUUCCUACAAACACGAAACUUGGCCUAUAAAACCUUCUUGUAUCAGCCUCAUCCAUAAUACUCCAAGAGAACCAAUUUGUCACCACCAGCGCCUCUCUUCUUCAGCGUUGUGACCCAUAUUCGUCCUCACUAAUGUCAUUUCAUCGGCCCAGCAGCAAGUCGAGAUGAUGACCCCAUGUACAUUCUACCUAUACGUUGUUGCUGUCACGUGUUUAUGUUAGGUUAAACAUUGGAUGCUACUUUUUAUAGACGAAGAUCCACAAUAGAUCUUUUACCAUCAAACAGAGGUUGUUGUUGUUUGUAUUCUGGCGAUUAUAAAAUAUGUAUUGGAUUUUUAUAUAUAAUCCUUAUAAAGUUGACACUGUAUAUAUACAAAAUAAAAAAUAAAUCCA
Molecule: long non-coding RNA, 1332 nt
Organism: Homarus americanus (American lobster)
Lineage: Eukaryota; Metazoa; Arthropoda; Malacostraca; Decapoda; Nephropidae
Exons: 2
Source: RefSeq, a predicted model, not a curated record